RNAcentral lists this ribosomal RNA (468 nucleotides) under uncultured bacterium. RNAcentral describes it as "partial 16S ribosomal RNA". It matches the Rfam family "Bacterial small subunit ribosomal RNA", at positions 28 to 507 of the family's 1533-position model. The record is from RNAcentral.
GACGAACGCUGGCGGCGUGCUUAACACAUGCAAGUCGAACGGAAACGCACUGCUUUUUUGGUGUGCUCGAUUGGCGAACGGGUGCGUAACACGUGAGUAACCUGCCCUUGAUUUUGGUAUAACUUCAGUAACCUGGACUUAAUCUCAUAUCGGAUCUCAUGCUCGAUUGUAGGGGUUGGAUCGUUUCGGCGGUUGGGGAUGGAUUGGCGGCUUUUGAGUUUGUUGGUUGGGUAGUGGCUUACCAAGGCUUGGAAGGGUAGCCGGCCUGGGAAGGUUGCCGGCGACAUUGGGACUGAGAUACGGCGCAGAGGCCUACGGGAGACAGUAGUGGGGAAUAUUGCACAAUGGGCGGAAGCCUGAUGCAGCAACGCUGCGGGCGUGAAGACGUUCUGCGGGUAAUAAACAGCUUCCGCCUGUGACGAAGCGUGUGUGACGGUAAUGGGUAAAGAAGCACCGGCUAACUACGUG